UCUGCUUUCUUAAGAAAGUAACAGCAUAUUCAAUGUUGGAGAUUGGAAGUAAAAAAAUCUUUGUAUUGUGCUAUCUGAAGUUAAACUAUACAUGCCGUGUGUUGCUUUUGUUUUAGUCAAAUUAUAUAUAUUUGUUUAUUCAACUUUUCUAAUGUUUGAAUGUUUUUAUCUUUUUACCGGAACUUAAUGCUUUCAAAAAUCUGUUAUUCUUUUUUCGAAAAAAUAUAUCAUACUUCCACAAAUAUCUUCAAAAGUGUUUAGAAAGUGGAAAAUAUCCAUAACACAUCUAUUUAUGUAUCGUUUAUUCAGGCAUUUUUUUCUAUCUACUACCGUUCCUGUUUUCAAAAUAACAUAUAAUAUACAUGUACAUGAUAAGGACAUGCCAAAAUAAGUAUAACAACAAAUGUGCCAAAAGAGAUAUAGUACUAGAUCACGUCUUUUCGAUUGUGUUGUUAUCAUAGUGAACUCAACAUAGUUUCUCUUUUAUACUGAUUGGUACUUUAAAAAUACAAUAUAGCAUAACUUCUUGUGUAAACAUUAAAGAGUUGGCAGGUCUUUUAAUAGUAUUGUUAUUAUAGAAUUUGCAUUAUUCACGUAUAUAUAUACGUACACGGAUCUACGUAUACAUAUCGGACAGAUUUGUUUAUAUAUAAUAACAUGAAUAAUGAUGUAAUCCCGAUCACAGUUCUAACUUUUUGCUGUACAACAUAUUUUUAUCUGGACCAAUUUGACUUAAUUUAUCCUUUCCUCGUGUACGUGUUAAACGACAUGUCGAUACGGAUACGCAAGCAAACACGUGAAUUAUGCAAAUGCUCUAAAACAAGGCAUGUUAAAAGCGCAUCAUAUAACAAUACAAUUACUGUAAGCGUUUAACAUAUUAAAAAAGUAUGCACAAUUUGUACAUACACUAAAUGAAAAAAAACUAUUUAGCAUACAAAAUCAUUCAUAGAUGUUUUCAAAUUAUAAUGGUGCACUAUGUUUUUCAGUACGUGUGUAUUCUGUUGCGUAAUAUUAUCUGAUUUUUAUUAUUAACAUACAUAUUUUGAGAUGAAAAUUGGACUUUGUUUACAAAAAUGAAUAAGAAAGAAUUCAUUAUUUUUGUAAAGUCAAUUACAAUUUUUCUUCCUCAUCUAUUUUUUUUUUGUUACCAAAUCUCCAUCGUUAAAAUGUUUACUUAUUCAAAUUAAUUGAAAAACACAGUAAAUUACUUUUCCAUGCCCAGGAUAGCUUAACAACAGCAACCAAAACAAAGCCCAGUUGAUGUCAGAUCCCCAUGUAUUGUAGCGCAUGUGCACUCGAUAAUCAGACUAAUUCGAUGAUGUCACAUUCGACAAAGAAAAAUGUUCAUAUUUUACAUGUUUUAAAGUGUAAGACAUAGAAAGAACAUGUAUAUGCAUUUGUAAGUUUUAAUGAUAUUUCUGCAGAAAGUU
This 1430-nucleotide long non-coding RNA is filed under the name Mytilus galloprovincialis (Mediterranean mussel). Lineage: Eukaryota; Metazoa; Mollusca; Bivalvia; Mytilida; Mytilidae. The record is from RNAcentral.